AUGAUUGGAAGUUUCCUUCUCUUCACAUCUAUAUUUUGUUACAGGUUAAAAGGUCUGAAAAUCUAGGUAUGCUAGCAUUGACAAUCUUGCAGCUCUUUUGAAUUAGUCCUAAAUCAUAACAGAAAGCUUUCUGUCAUGAUAAUAUAUAUUUCCGGAUACAUACUAGAGGCUACAUAUUGGGCAAUACUAGAGGAUACAUACUAGAGGCUACAUAUUCCGACUUGCCAAGCCUUAAAGCCAAGUUUUUGUUCAUCGAUUUACCUACAAAAGAUUAAGAGUUAUAAUAGAUUCUCUGAUCUAAACGAGUUAAUGCAAUGUUGCUGGCAGGUGCUAGAGGCCACAUAUUGGGCAGGAGCUUUCGUAUGGUGUGCAAGUGCUAGAGGCUACAUAUUGCUGGAAGGUGCUCAAUUCACAUUAGGACAGCCCACCCCCAAGAAGAAAUUAAAACAGAGGUGAGACCUCAACUUCAUGCCGAUAAAGUUAAUCGCUUCACAUAUACACGGUCCUUCACUCUCACUGAUAAUGCACCUUCACUUCCUUUUACCUGCCUAUGUAAUCACAAAUAUGAGAAAUCUAUUGCCUUAUUGAACUUUGAAGAUCCACGUUCCGAGGUACAUAAUUGACUAUAUUGGCAAGUUACAUCUUUUUUGUGGGCAGGCAAGUUACGUCUUAAUUCUACUGUUUUGUCCAACCUUGCAUUUUUUAAAUCAAUGGAGAAGACCAGUUCUCUCCAAGUGCGCAUAGUCCUCUUUCCUGUAACCAUAUGAACUACUAAAGCCAAUCUGUUGUUGGACUGGGUCACAUACAUUUUGUGCACCGCGCUUCCAUACUCAUGUCAUAUUUUGGCAAGGGCUAUUCUCACUAACAUAUUCUGUCGUACCAACUGUCAUCUUAUGUAAACAUGCUGUCAACCUAUGAAAUCUACUCCCUCCGUCCCAUAAUAUAAGAUGUUAUACCAACCAAUAUAUGAGUACAUUGGUUGUAAUAACAUUGGACAUUGCUUUGUUGAACAUCUUUCUGAGUUUCACUUAUGCAAAACAAUGACAUAUUCUUUCUUGUGUCAUAUGGUGGUCUUUUUUGUAUUUCAGUGGAACUGGACUGUGAUAUUAAAGAUCAUGCCACUGUUAUGUUUUAGGAGCAAGUUAUUACUAAUGUUGGAUUAUCAAAUACCAUUUUAAACUGGAGUUCACAAAAAAAGUCAAAACAUAUAGCGAUGUAGCACAUGAUUUUACAAGUUAAUUAUCAGCACAUAUACAUUCAUUGUUCUUCACGGAUUUCUUGAUGCUAAAACCGCCUGAUACAUGGAAGUAUACACCUCUGCUUACUAAUAGGAUCUAUUUGAGUAUGUACUCUAGCCUGGUUAGAUAUAUCUUAUGCAUGUUCUUACCUUUGUUUCCUUAGUGUACAACCUUAUACUUGGUGUCUUUUGAACUUAAAAUGUAUUACAUAACAACGGGUGAAAGAGCUGGUGUACAUAAUCAUCGAAGAGUCGGGAUAAAACUGAAAAAAUGGAACUCUUGAGCUUUGUCACAUUUUAGUAGGAAAAGUUGAUAUGCAGGUUGUCAAGAGCUUCUUUUUUGUCCAUCAGAUAGUUUAUAUAGCCUUGUCACCGAAGGUAAGUUUCGGAUAGGGGAUGCUGCUUGUGAAAAUUAUAUACAACUACGAGUCCCUAAGUAAGUUCCGCAUAGGGGAUGUUGCUUGUGAAAAUUAUAUACAACUAUGAGUCCCUUUCUCUUUCCUGAUAUUUACAAUUCCUUUUCAAUUGGCCGUCACCGGCACUGGCUGAAAUAUUUAGUUCUGUUGUCGUGCACCUAAUACUUGCACACUAUUUGUUUAUCUAUUUAGUUGGUCCUCACUGAAAAUAUAUAUAUUGUCCGCGAUGGAUGUCGAAUUUGGUGUGGAAUAGUUAAUGAGAAUCUGGAGAGUGCCUAAUGUUACAUCAACCUUUAUUCCAUCCCAGAUACACUAUUAGUGUUGAUCAGCUACAAAGAACACUAAAUAAUAUAUGGGGAUUAGAAUGUAGGUACAUGGAAUGCAAUCCAGCAGAGGAACUCAACAAAUGAAUAGACUCAUAGAAAGCUACCAGUUCACCUCACACUUGAUCUAUUAGCUUUUUUUGUUUUUCAGUAGUAGCAUGUAUGCCAUGUAGAUGAGUUAUUCAUAAAACUUACUGGUUCUCUAGAGGAAACAUCUACUUUAUCAAAAGACAUCAAAGCUAAUUUUCUAGGAUGAUAUGAUGAUACCUUAUAUAGAAUCCAGUUUACUCGCUCUUCAUAGAAGUGCUUUUUAAGUGGUAGAAGUGUGCAGAACAUUUUUACUCCCUUUUCUCCAUUAACUGUUCAAUGGAUGAAUAAUUAUCUUUCUGCUUUAGGAAUACUAGCUUGAUUAAUUAGUGUCUCUGUGCGAUCGAAAAAUUUGUAAGUCCUGAAAGUGAAUCCUGACCGAUGUACCCCUGCUUACCUUUCUAUGCACAGAUUAUUCACUUUGUGAAGAUCAAUAACAAUGAGGAGCAGAUGCCGGCAGCUGAGGCGUGUUUGUCUGGUACACACGAGCCAAUUUCUCCUGUUAGGGUGGACGACAUGCAAGCAGCCGCGAUGACGGACAGGCCGCUCUCGCACCACCAGACUCCCUUCAGGGUAGUUACCCACGGGCACGUACUUUUGCCGUUUAUUUUUACUUGUGAUUCCGCUCGUUGUGAACGUGGCUCGAUCCAUGUUGUGGCCCAAUUAAUAUUUUUGUUUUGUUUCGAUGGAUCGUCUUGGCUUGCUUUUGGCCUGAAGUUGUUGCCUUGCUUUUGGCACACCUGAUUCCACUACCUUUUGUUGUUGCUUGGACCAGUUUCUAUGUAAUGAACAUAUUUAUAUCAAUGUUGUGCUUCUGUUAUAAUCUUGCUAUAUUACACUGGUGAUUUUCGGUGA
Long non-coding RNA from Triticum aestivum (bread wheat), 2918 nucleotides. RefSeq lists it as uncharacterized. The transcript has 2 exons. The record is from RefSeq and is a predicted model, not a curated record. NCBI's taxonomy places the organism in Eukaryota, Viridiplantae, Streptophyta, Magnoliopsida, Poales, Poaceae.